GAAGAUCUCACCGUCUCACAUAAGGGUAUAAACCAGAGUGAUUGUGAUAAUGAUGUUAAAGAAGAGAUAAAAGAAGAGGAGAAGGUUGGUGUGAUGGAGGAGUUUUCAGAAGGACACAAAGACCCUUUCAAGGAUAUGAUCAUGGAGCCAUUCAGUGACAUAAACUCACCAGAGAGAUGUCCCCGUCCUCUGUAUUCCCGGGAUUCCACACAGUAAGAUCUCACCAUCCCCCACCAUGAUCAGGGUGAAGAACGGAUCAAUAUAAAAGCUGUGAUUAAAGAGGAAGAAGUGGAGACGUAUGUGGGGGGUGACCGGCCGCCCACGGA
Long non-coding RNA from Nanorana parkeri, 326 nucleotides. RefSeq lists it as uncharacterized. The transcript has 3 exons. The record is from RefSeq and is a predicted model, not a curated record. Lineage: Eukaryota; Metazoa; Chordata; Amphibia; Anura; Dicroglossidae.